GGCGGCGUAGGCAAGCGGUCUAAGCCACCACCCUUUCACGGUGGUAAUCAGCGGGUUCGAAUCCCCUCGCCGUCACCA
This 78-nucleotide transfer RNA is filed under the name Clostridia bacterium. Its description in RNAcentral is "tRNA-Glu". It matches the Rfam family "tRNA". Rfam says of the family: Transfer RNA (tRNA) molecules are approximately 80 nucleotides in length. Lineage: Bacteria; Bacillati; Bacillota; Clostridia. The record is from RNAcentral.